GUGGCCUGGCCCAGCUCUGGGGCCACAAGUCUUCAGGAGCAGAGUCCUGCUUCUGAAUGAGGAGGGGGGACCCUUGGACAGGGGAGGGGGCGGGCAGAGCUGGAGUACCUGACACAGCUGCCCCUUCGCCAGCCCACCUUUGCUCCAGGCAUCGUCACGGAGCAGAGAGCAAGGGAGAUCCAGCAAGUGACAGCCCAUCUGCAAAACCCCAUCACGCCAGCGGUCACAGGGAAGGAGAGCCUGGCGCCUGACCUCAGCAUCUGUUUGUCUAAUCAGGAAGGAGAGUGGAGAAGUCGGCAAGGACUGCGUGCACGUUUUAUAGCCUCUCAGUACCAUGUCAACUGCCAGCAAAUGUUACUACCCAGAGCGAUUCAGGGUUGUUGCCGUCUUCAACAUUAUGUAACCAAGACUUCAAGAAUUCCAAGCAAUACGCUAAAGAAGG
This is a non-coding RNA of Vicugna pacos (alpaca), 442 nucleotides long. The record is from RefSeq and is a predicted model, not a curated record. Lineage: Eukaryota; Metazoa; Chordata; Mammalia; Artiodactyla; Camelidae.